RNAcentral lists this ribosomal RNA (394 nucleotides) under uncultured bacterium. RNAcentral describes it as "bacterial SSU rRNA". It matches the Rfam family "Bacterial small subunit ribosomal RNA", at positions 30 to 422 of the family's 1533-position model. The record is from RNAcentral.
AUUGAACGCUGGCGGCAUGCCUUACACAUGCAAGUCGAACGGCAGCACGGGAGCUUGCUCCUGGUGGCGAGUGGCGAACGGGUGAGUAAUACAUCGGAACGUACCCUGAAGUGGGGGAUAACGUAGCGAAAGUUACGCUAAUACCGCAUAUUCUGUGAGCAGGAAGGAGGGGGAUCGCAAGACCUCUUGCUUUAGGAGCGGCCGAUGUCGGAUUAGCUAGUUGGUGAGGUAAAGGCUCACCAAGGCGACGAUCCGUAGCGGGUCUGAGAGGAUGAUCCGCCACACUGGGACUGAGACACGGCCCAGACUCCUACGGGAGGCAGCAGUGGGGAAUUUUGGACAAUGGGCGCAAGCCUGAUCCAGCCAUGCCGCGUGAGUGAAGAAGGCCUUCGGG